GUGUCAGCAGCCGCGGUAACACCAGCGUCACGAGUGGCAACCACGAUUAUUGGGCCUAAAGCGUCCGUAGCCGGUUUGAUAAGUCUUUUGUGAAAUCGUUGCGCUUAACGUAACGUUGUGCAAGAGAUACUGUCAGACUUGGAACUGGGAAGGGUCAGGAGUAUUCAGGGGGGAGCGGUAAAAUGCUAUAAUCCCCUGAGGACUAUCUGUGGCGAAGGCGCCUGACUAGAACAGCUUCGACGGUGAGGGACGAAAGCUAGGGGAGCAAAACGGAUUAGAUACCCGAGUAGUCCUAGCUGUAAACGCUGCGAGCAAGGUGUCGCAUAUCCUUCGUGGAUGUGCGGUGUCGAAGAGAAGUCGUUAAGCUCGCCGCCUGGGAAGUAUGGUCGCAAGGCUGAAACUUAAAGGAAUUGGCGGGGGAGCACCACAAGGGGUGCGGCGUGCGGUUUAAUCUAAUUCAACACAGAGAAUCUCACCAGGAGCGACGGCAGGAUGAGGGUCAGUCUAAAGGGCUUACCAGACGAGCCGAGAGGUAGUGCAUGGCCGUCGUCAGCUCGUGCUGUAAAGUGUCCUGCUAAGCCAGGCAACGAGCGAGACCUGUAUCUACAAUUGCUAACGACUCUUUUAGGAGCAUCGAGCACAUUGUGGAGACUGCCCUGGAAACAGGGAGGAAGGUGCAGGCUACGGUAGGUCUGUAUGCUCCGAAUCUUCUGGGCUACACGCGCGCAACAAUGGUAAGGACAAUGUGAUGCAACUCUGAAAAGAGAAGCUAAUCCUCGAAACCUUAUCCAAGUUCAGAUUGAGGAUUGUAACUCAUCCUCAUGACGAUGGAAUCCCUAGUAAUCAGACGUUAUCAGCGUCUGGUGAAUAUGUCCCUGCUCCUUGCACACACCGCCCGUC
This 900-nucleotide ribosomal RNA is filed under the name uncultured archaeon. RNAcentral's name for it is "bacterial SSU rRNA". It matches the Rfam family "Archaeal small subunit ribosomal RNA", at positions 455 to 1354 of the family's 1478-position model. The record is from RNAcentral.